This 831-nucleotide long non-coding RNA is filed under the name Setaria italica (foxtail millet). Its description in RNAcentral is "long non-coding RNA (SITA_LNC004181)". Lineage: Eukaryota; Viridiplantae; Streptophyta; Magnoliopsida; Poales; Poaceae. The record is from RNAcentral.
CACGAUAGACUAGUCCUUGUUCUUGUUUGGGUCUUCUAUGGAUCUCUUUUGAAUGUUCUUUGCAAGUAGACCCCUAGUAAUUAUGUUAAUUGCGCAAUUAGGAGCUGCCGAAGACACGGAGCCGAACCUGCAGCAGGAGCCGUACAAGGACCACUACGAGGAGGAAGACUACUCAGGUUCAUGCCCAUUCAAUUUAAAUACCCAUUAGGCAUUGCUAAUAGAAUGCUAGCGUUUUAUUUCCUCAUAUUAUGAUGAUGAACCAUGCAUAGUCUAUUUUUAUGCCUUGAAUCCUUGUGUGACCUACUACCAUUUUGCUUAUAUAUGCUAUGUGCAAUGCUUGCAUGUAUAUGCGAUAUUGUGAAUAGGAUUCUUGGCGUGAGUGGGGUUAAAACUGGCAGGAGAAGGUGUUUUUGGGAUAUUUGACGGGGGUGAGCUUUACACAACCCAAUCUUUGGAUUGGGGGCUUAGGGUUCAUUCUCGGACGUUUCCUGUUUGGUACUUGUUGUGAGUACAUGGUUGAGGAGCAUAUGAGUUGGUGGUGAUACCUGUUAUGGGUGCCGUUGCGAUCUAAGUGGUGGCAUCGCUUUUGUGGGAGAUUAGGAGCUCGCCCCGGUCUGAAACCGAGUGGGUUGCCAUGCUUCACGGGAAUAUGUUAAACGUGCACGCCACUCAUCAAAUUAUGGGUUUAGGCCUGGGUCGAGACUGACAAGUGUGGUACCAUACUUGCUGUAGGAUGGAGUAUCACUGUAGGGGGAGAGGUGUUGACCUAUAGCCCCCUGAUUUGUUUUUGCCCCCGAUUGGCCCCGGUGGGAGUGCUUCACAGUACCAGGG